GCGCCUGGCUGAGAUGUUUCCUGCAUACCAAGGAGGACGCUGGAGACCAUACUGGAGGCCAAACCCCUGGGAAAAGGCAGCAUUGUGCUGUGGGACACGGAGCAGGUGCUGAGGUCCACAAGCAGCUCUUGGGCAGGCCAAAUACAGCGACUCCCAUCAAGGCACCCCCAGACAGGCAGCUCCCUGUCCAGGAGGAGCAGAGCCCUGCCCCUGGGCAGGGGACGCUGCUGGAGCCAGGUGGCACGCGGGUCCCCAGCCCUGCGGGGACAAGGGCAGGUACGGGGGGAAAAGUAUGGGUCAAAUGUUUGGUUGUCUGGGUGUUUAGAGGGAGCGAGGAGCAAUUUUGACCCAAUCAAACUCACCAGCUGCUGCUGGAAGGAGUGGAGGAGGUAACUGAGUGUCCUGCCACAGGGGCAGCUGGCAAACGGGCACAGGGAAGGGGAGAGGAAGGGAGGAGGAGGAGGCAGGGAUGAAGGAUGUGGAGAGCGGAUGUGCUGCAUGGGCGGGAGAGGAGGAUGAGCGAGGCUGAAGGAGCAGAGACCCUGCAAUAUAAACACACCACCAGGAUGCAGGGGGAGAGGGGAUGGACUGUCAAGGCAAGAGGCAAAAGCACCAAAUAUUUAUUUGUCUGCAAAACAAGUCUCCAUGGCAAUGAAGUGCCUCACAACUCAUUUCCAAAACAAGCCCGGCCACACGGCGCUGGGACAGAGCUGCGGGGCGUGGAGGGGCAGGGGGGCUCCGGCUGUGUCCCCGGGCAGGUGCGAAGUGCACAAACCUACCAGGGGCUAGGAGGGCGAGGGAUGGAAAAAUUUCAGCAGCUAUCGGGCUUCCAGGGGCUUACGGUUACACCUUGCCCUCCAUGAAGGCAGGGGCAGGAUUGGGCCCCUGCAUGUGGAGGGUCCGACCCAGCACCUCCAUGGGAAGAGCUGGCAACGCCGAGCUCCUCAGGCAAACAGCACCGCGAAUGAUCUGGCUCUAAACCUGCGGGGCCAUAAAUCCUAUUAUUUUGCUGCCAGCUGAACAAUUUGUUCCUGUAACAAGGUGCUUUAACCUUGCUUCACACUCAUUGUUCUGCCCUCUUUGAUUUUACUGUAAGUGACUGAAUUUGCUUCUGGUGCGCUGCCAGCACCCCAUUGAUCGUGGCCCCAUGAGGAUGGCCGAGUGCCCCGGUGCUGCUGGCGGGGCUGUGAGCAGUGCCCAAACCCAAAUCCCUUCAGGGACUGCAGGAUCCCCCCAGGAACCGGCCGGCGCUUCGAGCUGGCGAGCAGAGCCCAGGCCGAGUGCACUCCGUGUGGUUUGAGGUUUCGUCUGCAGCGGCUGGGGAGGGUUUUGGUUCCCAGCACCUCUCACAGAGCAUGCUGGAGGUAACAGAGGCAAUAAAACCGCCCCCACAAAACCCACACUUAACCGAAUGUUUCCAAGCCCAGCAGCACUAGGGGGACUGAUCCUUCUCCUCUUCCUGCCGUUGCCAAAAUUCCUAUUAACCCUGUUGGCAGCUGGAGCUGACUCCCAUUUUCCAGCCUGUAAUGCUGCCUGGUUUCUGUCCCUCGGUGCCUGAGGGCUUCUGUCCGUCCCCCCCAGAGAAGGCAGCCCAGCGAGCUCUGGCAGUGCCCCGGCAGGAGGCUUUGUUCCCCAGAGCCCACCUGCCCUGGAAGCGCAGGGUGACGGUCGGGCUCGUGACCAGGAGGAAGCCGUGGCCCUGCCGCCAGCGAACAAUCGGCGGAAACGGGCCCGGCGUCCCGGGGCUGGGGAGGGCGGCGUGAGGAUGGGGCAGGGACCCGCCGCCCCCGCAGGGGACAGUCCUGUCCCUGUCCUGGCUCUGCCCCACAUGCGUGUGCCCCUUCAGAGGGACAGGCCUGCGGCUCCCGACUCAGCUCCUGGGGGGGAACGUGGGGGAUUGUGGUGGCGCAUGGUGCCCACGACACGAUCCACGUGGCACGGCGCUGGGUGUGCGCGGUGCCCGGUGUGCUGUGCGGUGCCCGGUGCCUGGCACGCUGGGCGUGUUGCACGCUGCCGUCUGAGCGUGGCACAUUGCCCGGUGUGUGGCGUGCGGCGUGCGAGGCCGGGCGCGCGCUGCGUGGUGUGCGGCACGCUGACCUCUCGCUGCCUCUGGCCCUGAGCGGGGGCCGGGAAGGGAAGUGCCGCCGGUCCCGCUGCUUUCAUCGGGAGAUCUGGAGCGCAGGAGCCUGCCCAGAUCCUAAUCAGUGUGGGAAAGAAACGGCCAGGCCCGCUCUCGCCGCAGCCUGCUGGAGACGCCUUUUAUUUUCAUAAACUUUAUCGCAGCCCGCAGCCCCUGAUAAACCACCGUAAAUAAGCGCAGGGGAGCGUGGCGCAUGGCCAGCAGCCGCUCGCGGACGCACGCGCUGGCGGCCGCUCCCGGGGGACGCGCGGUCGCACGCCAGCCGCCCAGGCCUCCUUUCAUCCCCCGCCGCGGCGCGGGGACGCCACAUGGCCCCGGGCCCUGGCCGAGCUGGGGGCUGCUCCCUGCGCUCCCACCCCAGCCCCUCGGGGCCCCGGCGGGGCAGGAUGCGGCCGCGUCCUCUCCAGGCGGCGAGAAGGGGCUCGUGUCCCAACAGAAGGCCGAAAGCAGUGGCAGGUCCCCGUCCCUCCCCCAGGGCUGCGCUGCUGUGGAGUUUGAGGAUUGUUGAGCUUUGCCACAAAUUAAUAGCUUGGGCUGCUUUCUGUUUUCUUCUAUUUUUUUUCGCUUUGCUAGAAAAGUUUGGGUUUUGUUUAAAAAAGUUUACAUUCUUCUGGGAGCAAGGAAAAAACAGGAUCUGGGGGGUUGUUUGCACGCUCGUUCCGCAGGCUGACAAUUUUCCGUUUCUGUUUGCAGUUGCUGGGGGUGGAAGCCAUCCCUGAGCGCUGGCGGCUGCCCCAGGGCGCCUGGCUGCCCAGCACCCUGCUCCCACUGCAGGCAGGGGCUGGGGGCACACGUGUGCUUUUCUUUCAUUUUUCACAGUGUGACUUGUGGUGGCCACCCGUGGCGGAUUAUCACCGGGGUUUGGCCAGGCAUGUCCACCUCUGGCAGGGGCACCCGUCGGGACGCCGUCCCCGCUCUCCCCCAGCACUCCUCGCGGCGUUUCACCCCAAUCCCCCAGCCUGCCACAAUCCCUUUUCUGUCCGCAGCCUCACAGGCGGGAUAAAUGCUCUCUCUGUUCCGCCGCGCCAGGAGCGCUCGGCAGCGGCUUCCCCACAAGCGAGCCAUUGAGAGCAGCUCCCUCAGCGCCAUCACCCGCGGCUCCGCGCCCGUCCCGGGGCACCCUGCCCACACCCCUGCCUGCACCCCCUGCCUGCUGGCAGGGCACGGGCAGAGCCCCCGGGGACACCCGUCCCCGCCGUACCCCGCUGGAGGAGGAAAUGGAGCCAGCCUGACGUGUUGGUUCAUGACAGACCCGUGUCAGAUGUUACUCAUCCCCGUGCUCACUUCCAGAUGCUGCCCAACGCCUGCUGCUGGGUUAUUCAUGCAGUGUUUUCCUAGGGGAGCCCUUGGUCCUCAUACUGCUCAAAGCUGCACACCUGCCAGCCCUGUACAGAGAUUUUUUAAUAUAGACAUUUCUGUGCAAUGUUUUAAAAUGCGGAGGGGCUGCUUCUCCUACAGCCAUACUGCUUGCACCUCUGAUAGAGGCGUGUUGUGGGGGGAAUGAACCCUCCAGCUACUGCAAAUGAGAACUGCUUUACUUUCCAGGCUCACCAGAAGACAAGCUUUCAGAGACAGACACAGCGACUCUCCACAACUGUUUCAGCUCUUGGAAGAACACCCGCUUCUUUCAGCAGGAACGUUUUUGUGUCGGGUGUCCCAGCUACACUGUGCAAUCUUUCACACGAGGACCUCUAGAUGCUCCGCUCCUCCUUGUGCAAUGUCUUGGCUCUGGGUCUUGGCUUUGCUGAAAGCGGCGGAGUCUGAGGGCUCCUUGGGGCAGAUUGGGCAGAUUGGGUCCCUGGGAAAGCUGAGGAAAACAUCCAGAGCUUCAGCUGUGUUUGUGAGAGCCCUCGGAGGGCCACUCGGUGGCUGUGUUACUCACCUGGCCACGCUUCAGCUGGGGAGCUCAGGAGCUGCUGCGCCAGCAGAUUUUCAGGCGUGCAGCAGCUCUGCCAGCUCUCCAGAGGAGACACACGGCUGCAGGGGCCUGGGCCUUCCCCUGGGGUCGCCGUGACACAGUGACACACCAGAAAUCAGACACUGGAAUGCCUGGUGUCCUGUAAAAGAGCUGAGGAAGGGGGUUUGUGACCCAGAGUCCUCCUGGGGAGGUAGGCAGCACGAGGGCUGGUCCCCCCUGGGGUGAUGGUGCUCACCGAGGUCAUCCCAUGGCAGGAGCCACCCCCAUGUCACCACCCCUGCUCCAUGGGCUCCUUCUGGAGGUCUCUGGUCAUGAGACAAGCUGAGGCCCAUCUCCGGUGUCCUGUUCACCCCAGAGCCUCCAGGGACUCUGAAAUGUGGUUUUGUGCGCGUGACCAAGGAGUGUCCUUGAACCUUCCUCCCUGAGGUUUUAUUCUCCAAGGUGCUGGCAAUGGGAAAAAGCUCUCCGUGCCCUUCCCCCACCCCAAAGCAUCCUUUACAAAAAUAAAGUGCCCAAAAUAGCCCUA
Oxyura jamaicensis (ruddy duck) is the source of this 4584-nucleotide long non-coding RNA. RefSeq lists it as uncharacterized. The transcript is spliced from 3 exons. Lineage: Eukaryota; Metazoa; Chordata; Aves; Anseriformes; Anatidae. The record is from RefSeq and is a predicted model, not a curated record.